This 1363-nucleotide long non-coding RNA is filed under the name Laticauda laticaudata (blue-ringed sea krait). Its description in RNAcentral is "lncRNA (ENSLLTG00000006617.1)". The record is from RNAcentral. Lineage: Eukaryota; Metazoa; Chordata; Lepidosauria; Squamata; Elapidae.
CACGUGAGGCUGUAAACUCUGAACCUUGCAAACUUCCUUGGAACUGCUCCCUACUCUCUUCCUCCUGCAGUUACAAACUCGACUCUGAAGCCACCUCUCUUCCUCUCCUCUUAUGAAAAGCCCCGUCCAGGAUACACGCCUAAAAAGCCCACUGGAGACUUUCACCAUCCAGGACAAGCUGCCCGCUCUCCAGCCCAUUAAACCCGGAUCCUCCUCUCGAACUGUCUCCCUCGAGCUGUCCCAGCUUCAGCAGCUUGGAAGGCUGCCUCUCCGCUGCCGGCAAAAAGGGCUUUUCAAUCAACCAGGGACUUUGCGGUGUCCCUGGGAUCAACAGGACAAGUCCUUGUCAAUCACCGUCUCUACAGGACAGUUUAGGUCCAUGUGGACCGACCAGCAGCUGAGAUAUCAACGGCGAUCUUGGAGGAUCAAGAUCGCCCGUCAUACCGCUGUGACGCCAGCUCCACCCUCUGUAUUUUUCCCCUUCUUGAGUAAUGUAAGCUGGUAAUGUAGGCUGGUUUAAUCUUUGACUAAAGAUUGCCUUUAAUGCCAGUAAAGGGAAAACCUUUUCCGCUUUGCCAGCAAAGAUGAACGACAAGCUGUAUUUUGUCUUUAAAUUGCUGGCUGGAUUUGGAUUCCCUCUUUAGGGGGGAAGAAUUAUGACCCGCUUCUGUGGAGAUGGCCCAUCCUAAAGAAUUUACAACCCUGUUGCUUGGAGACCACCAUCAUAAACUUGGGUAGAAGAGCCUCUCGAUGAACGGAGGGGAAUCAACUUUUGUUGUUGUUUUUCUGACUGAAGACCCAGGAAAUAUCACAAUUUCUUACUCAAAUCCUGUCUUUCUUGUUUGCAAACAGUCUCUAAGGUAGCAGAGAGAAACAGGAGAAUACAAAGAGAGCCCGCAAGGAUGCUACUUGUUUGUCUCUUGUAAAUGGGGGGGAAUUCUGCCCCCUCCCAGUAAUUCAAGCAGGCUUUGUAACUUCAGUUGCUCAGAGGGAGAGAGAGAGAGAGAGAGAGAGUUCAGAGUUUAAAUUCUCCUUUAUUAAAUAUAACAGUUUAGGGAGAACAUUAAUCUUGAUCGUAGGUAUUCUAUCUAAUGAUGAGAUUUGCAUUUUGCUCCAAUUUUCCAAAUCCCUUCCAAUUUGUUGUAAUAUUUUAGUAUAAUUCUCUUCCUUCACAGUUGAAGCUCUAGGUCUUAACCAUAUGCUUAAAUAUUUAAUCUUGUUUACAAUUUGUAAUCCCAUUGUUUUCUCUAAUUCUUUUUGUCUGUUAUUUGUUAAGUUUUUAACUAACAUUUUAGUCUUUCCUUUAUUGAUUUUCAUCCCCGCUAAUUUACCAAAUUUAUUGAUUUCAUUUAAUAAUAUUGGU